RNAcentral lists this long non-coding RNA (562 nucleotides) under Malus domestica (apple). RNAcentral describes it as "long non-coding RNA (MDOM_LNC011059)". The record is from RNAcentral. Lineage: Eukaryota; Viridiplantae; Streptophyta; Magnoliopsida; Rosales; Rosaceae.
GUGGACUGACGGGUGGGAUUGGAAGAAAGGAAAGAAAAGAAUAGAAUAAGUGAAAGGGAUCCAAGAGGGAGAGCUGCUUUGGCAGCUGGUGAGAGACAGGUCAGAAACAAAAAGAAUAAUAAAAAGAAGUAGAGAGAUGCUGCCUUUGGGCAGCUGGCAAAGGAGAUUGACGCGGGAGGAGAGAGAGGCAGCAAAGCUGCCAGCAAAAGGAAAAUAAGAAAAGAAGACAGCUGCCUUGCGUUGGGGGCAGCGUGAGAAAAAGAGAGAAGCAGAGAGCCUUGGGGAAAAAGAGGUCAGAGUGCGACAGCCAGGGAAGAAGAGGAGCACAGAGGCAGAGGGCUUCACUCCGUUUUUAUUGGUGUUAUCUUCUCAAACUCAUGAUUUACGUUUGGUUUAAUUUGUUAAUAAUGUGUAACUAAUUUAUUUUGGCUAGAGGUUAAUUCGAAACCAUGAAUAUAUUUGUAAUAUGAAUUGAUUACCUUCGGUUAUGAUUUCAUAAGUUGUGAUUUCAAUUUACUUAUCCGUUCGUAUAAAAACUGAUUUGUGUAUGUUGGUUGAGAGU